UACGUAGGGAGCAAGCGUUGUUCGGAUUUACUGGGCGUAAAGGGCGCGCAGGCGGCUGCUCAAGUCAGGCGUGAAAGGCCUGGGCUCAACCCGGGAAUUGCGCUUGAGACUGGGCUGGCUUGAGUGCGGGAGAGGAUGGUGGAAUGCUCGGUGUAGAGGUGAAAUUCGUAGAUAUCGUUUGGAACGCCGACGGUGAAAACAGAUGACUGGGGACCUGCUGACGCUGAGACACGAAAGCCAGGGGAGCAAACGGG
This 254-nucleotide ribosomal RNA is filed under the name uncultured bacterium. RNAcentral describes it as "partial 16S ribosomal RNA". It matches the Rfam family "Bacterial small subunit ribosomal RNA", at positions 524 to 776 of the family's 1533-position model. The record is from RNAcentral.